AGCAGCCGCGGUAAUUCCAGCUCCAAUAGCGUAUAUUAAAGUUGUUGCAGUUAAAAAGCUCGUAGUUGAAUUUCGGGAUCAGUAGGUCGGUCGUGCCACUGGUACGAACUGGUCUCACUGGUUCCUCCCUCUUGACGAACUGCAAUGCUAUUAAUUUAGUGUAGUAGGAAAUCAGGACUGUUACUUUGAAAAAAUUAGAGUGUUUAAAGCAGGCUUUGGCUUGAAUACAUUAGCAUGGAAUAAUGAAAUAGGACGUUCGAUCCUAUUUUGUUGGCUUCUAGGAUUGACGUAAUGAUUAAUAGGGACAGUUGGGGGCAUUAGUAUUCAAUUGUCAGAGGUGAAAUUCUUGGAUUUAUUGAAGACUAACUACUGCGAAAGCAUUUGCCAAGGAUGUUUUCAUUAAUCAAGAACGAAAGUUAGGGGAUCGAAGACGGUCAGAUACCGUCGUAGUCUUAACCAUAAACUAUGCCGACUAGGGAUCGGAUGAUGUUAAUUUUUAAUGACUCAUUCGGCGCCUUAA
RNAcentral lists this ribosomal RNA (520 nucleotides) under uncultured Glomus. Its description in RNAcentral is "SSU rRNA". It matches the Rfam family "Eukaryotic small subunit ribosomal RNA", at positions 569 to 1091 of the family's 1831-position model. Lineage: Eukaryota; Fungi; Glomeromycota; Glomeromycetes; Glomerales; Glomeraceae. The record is from RNAcentral.